This 461-nucleotide ribosomal RNA is filed under the name Escherichia coli. RNAcentral's name for it is "partial 23S ribosomal RNA". It matches the Rfam family "Bacterial large subunit ribosomal RNA", at positions 2261 to 2721 of the family's 2925-position model. RNAcentral also lists the same sequence under 2 other names. The record is from RNAcentral. Lineage: Bacteria; Pseudomonadati; Pseudomonadota; Gammaproteobacteria; Enterobacterales; Enterobacteriaceae.
GUGGGUAGUUUGACUGGGGCGGUCUCCUCCUAAAGAGUAACGGAGGAGCACGAAGGUUGGCUAAUCCUGGUCGGACAUCAGGAGGUUAGUGCAAUGGCAUAAGCCAGCUUGACUGCGAGCGUGACGGCGCGAGCAGGUGCGAAAGCAGGUCAUAGUGAUCCGGUGGUUCUGAAUGGAAGGGCCAUCGCUCAACGGAUAAAAGGUACUCCGGGGAUAACAGGCUGAUACCGCCCAAGAGUUCAUAUCGACGGCGGUGUUUGGCACCUCGAUGUCGGCUCAUCACAUCCUGGGGCUGAAGUAGGUCCCAAGGGUAUGGCUGUUCGCCAUUUAAAGUGGUACGCGAGCUGGGUUUAGAACGUCGUGAGACAGUUCGGUCCCUAUCUGCCGUGGGCGCUGGAGAACUGAGGGGGGCUGCUCCUAGUACGAGAGGACCGGAGUGGACGCAUCACUGGUGUUCGGGU